UGGGGAAUUUUGGACAAUGAGCGCAAGCCUGAUCCAGCAAUGCCGCGUGCAGGAUGAAGGCCUUCGGGUUGUAAACUGCUUUUGUACGGAGCGAAAAGGUCUGCCCUAAUACGGUGGGCUCAUGACGGUACCGUAAGAAUAAGCACCGGCUAACUACGUGCCAGCAGCCGCGGUAAUACGUAGGGUGCGAGCGUUAAUCGGAAUUACUGGGCGUAAAGCGUGCGCAGGCGGUUAUAUAAGACAGAUGUGAAAUCCCCGGGCUCAACCUGGGACCUGCAUUUGUGACUGUAUAGCUAGAGUACGGUAGAGGGGGAUGGAAUUCCGCGUGUAGCAGUGAAAUGCGUAGAUAUGCGGAGGAACACCGGUGGCGAAGGCAAUCCCCUGGACCUGUACUGACGCUCAUGCACGAAAGCGUGGGGAGCAAACA
This 427-nucleotide ribosomal RNA is filed under the name uncultured bacterium. RNAcentral describes it as "bacterial SSU rRNA". It matches the Rfam family "Bacterial small subunit ribosomal RNA", at positions 355 to 774 of the family's 1533-position model. The record is from RNAcentral.